CCUACGGGAGGCAGCAGUGGGGAAUAUUGCACAAUGGGGGAAACCCUGAUGCAGCGACGCCGCGUGAGUGAAGAAGUAUCUCGGUACGUAAAGCUCUAUCAGCCGGGAAGAAAAUGACGGUACCUGACUAAGAAGCACCGGCUAACUACGUGCCAGCAGCCGCGGUUAUACGUAGGGGGCAAGCGUUAUCCGGAUUUACUGGGGGUAAAGGGAGGGUAGACGGCAGCACAAGUCUGGAGUGAAAUCCCGGGGCUUAACCCCGGAACUGCUUUGGAAACUGGGCGGCUGGAGUGCAGGAGGGGUAAGCGGAAUGCGUGGUGUAGCGGUGAAAUGCGUAGAUAUUGGGAGGAACACCGGUGGCGAAGGCGGCUUACUGGACUGUAACUGACGUUGAGGCUCGAAAGCGUGGGGAGCAAACAGGAUUAGAUACCCCUGUAGUC
RNAcentral lists this ribosomal RNA (440 nucleotides) under uncultured bacterium. RNAcentral describes it as "partial 16S ribosomal RNA". It matches the Rfam family "Bacterial small subunit ribosomal RNA", at positions 338 to 795 of the family's 1533-position model. The record is from RNAcentral.